Long non-coding RNA from Columba livia (rock pigeon), 4805 nucleotides. RefSeq lists it as uncharacterized. The transcript has 5 exons. The record is from RefSeq and is a predicted model, not a curated record. Lineage: Eukaryota; Metazoa; Chordata; Aves; Columbiformes; Columbidae.
GAGAAUGGGUUUAGGAGGAUGAGGAUGGGUUUGGGAGGAUGAAGAUGCGUUUGGGAGGAUGAGGAUGUGGUUGGGAGGAUGAGUUUGGGGGCACGAGGAUGGGUUUGGGGGACGCAGGGGGAGCUGAAGGGACGAUCACCGCGGCUGCCACACCUGGUUAACAGGUGGCCCCAGCACAGUCUGCGGUGGGGAAACCACAUCAGCCCUCUCUUCGUUUUCGGGUGAACUCGUACACGCUCAAGAAAGCAGCAGCGCCGCCUUCCCCUGGCAUUAGCACAUAACGGCCUGGAAUGUGAGCAGACAGUAAUGAAUUACCCACCUGAUUGACACUUGGCUGUUGGGUUUUUUCAUCUACUGUAAAACAAGUAAAAAUGUGCCUGGCUCCGUAUCGUCUCUUCUUUUUUCAAAGGAUCAGUUAGACACAGGGACUCCAGUGUGAAUAAACUCAGAUUUAUGUCCCCAUCAGUUGGAUCCUUAAACUUCCUAAGUACUUAAAACAUAGACAUUUUAGCUUGAAAAAUUACCAGGUUUGUCUAAAGGAAAAUUUCUAACAUAAACCAGGAAACUCAUUUGGAGGGAGAAAUUCUCCGCUGAAGCGAGCCCGGGCAGCCGUGAAGCAGUGAAACCGGGCACGGAGGGGCACGCCAGCCGGGUGCCGCAGCCACAUGUCUCUCUGGUUGUUUUUACAUUUUUAUAACCUAGAUCAGAUGACAGGAGAACAUGUGAAUGUAUCGAGGGGGAUCCGUCGAGAGGAGGAGAACUUUGCUUCCAGCCUCGAGGGCGCCGAGGUCAGUGGAGCCGCUUCCAGCAGAGAGAGAAACAGGGACCUGGGGCUUCCCCGGAGCAGCCCCCUGUGACCAACCAGUAUCGGUGAGAGUAUUAAUGGUUAUUAGCGCAAGUCGUCUGCACCGAUGGACUCGGGGAAGCUGUCCCUGCUCUGUGCGCCUGUUUCUGGAGGUGGGAGUGUGUGGGGGACUCGCCGGGGGCCGGAUCAGCCGCAGCCGCAGCAGCUGCUUCCCCGCGGGCGCCGGGACGAUGCGCUCGGGAGCGUCUCCUGCCGCUUCCCCUUCGCUUCCAGCCCAGAUCCUGUCAUUCCACCACAAACCAGCGUUUGAGCCGCCCCGUCCCCGCCACCGCCGGCUGCCACCAGGCCCACGGCACAGCAGCCGCUUCGCCACCACGUCUCGUGUUCGCUGCCCACACCUGCUCGUGCCCCGUGCCGGCUCCGGAGCGAACAGCUAUGGAGCAAACAGCAGCUCCAGAGCAAGCAACAGCUAUGGAGAAAACAACUCCAGAGCAAACAGCAGCUCCGGUGUGGUGAUUUUCCACUACAAAGAAUUCUUCAUUUUCACUGGUCCAGACAAUCAGGACCCAGACCAGCCCCAUUGUUAGGGUGGUGCAAAAGUAAUUGCGGUUUUUGCAUUGUCAAAAUGCACCGUUUGAUACUGGAAUACCUUCUUAAAUAAAUGCAAUUACGUUAUACAUAAUUUUAAUGAGCUUUUCUCACUUUCUGUUUUUUUGGGGGGGACUGACUACUUCUUGUUUAUUUCAUUUUUUGUAUAUUUCUGUCUAUGAUAUAUUUAUUUGAUCAUCAGCACUUUCUCCGAUGUACCCGCCCUUUGGCUUUGCUGGGUGACGGGGAGCCCCGGUGUGUGGGGGGUACAGGAGCGGGGCUGGCGGGAGGGUUAAGCAGCUGUGGUGCUGCAGGAGCGCAGCUGUGUGCCGGGAGGGGAUCUGCAGCAAUUAGGGGCUGCCAGGGCUACAAAAAGGCCGGUGUUGGGGGCGAGCAGGGCUCUGGGAGAGAUCUGUGUGCUGGAGAGAGGAAAGAUGGUUUGUGGCAGGGUUUGAGAACAGGCCGUUGGUGAUAACAGCGACCACACGUUCUUUGGAGCGGGUGAUGGAGACACGACGCGGGCAGCGAGCCCGGGAGUGAGAUGCUUUGAGGUGUAAGUGACCCAGAGGAGUUACUACCGGGCGUAGCCCUGCAGUGAUGGAGCGCCCAGCCUUGGGCACCACCUUGGAGCAGGAGCGCGCUGCCGGCACAUUUAACUGGAAGGGCCGCAGCUCUUCCUGCAGACGACAAGAUCACGGUCUGAGCAGAUACGGCAAGGGGACGGAGGGCAUCGGCGACUGACAGCGCUCCAACGCCCCCGCCCGCAGUGGAAAAGCAGGAUACUCGUCCCCAGCCAGUGCUGGCUUGCAGUCACACAUGGACACAACAUUAUUGUUACAAACACAGUGAGUCCCACCUCGGGAGAACCGCUGACGAGAGGCUGCAUCGGCUGUUCCCACGCUCGUCAGGCACCGAGGGCUACUGGAUGUCGCAGUCCGAGGUCCCAUCUCGUGACAGCGCUGGGCGGUUUGGCAUGAAUGCGGGGACAACGUGACCGGGUUUAGGUGAUUUCUCCGCUGACCGGUUGCACCGACCCUUCCCGUGCCCGGUUCUGGGACGGGACGGUGUCCCGGGCGUGCGGGGAGGUUCCUGCUCGCAGGACGUGCCCUGCACGCCGAGAUUGCUGCCGGGCUGUGAGCGCAGCCGUUCCGAGCGAGCAGGCGGCCGCGUUGCCAUGCGGAGGGUGUCGAGGGCUCGCUGCCAGCACCUGAACCAGCUACAGGCCAAGGCGGCAGCUCCCUUGCAUAAUUGCGCAGGGCCAAUACCUCUGUGAGAAGCACAAGCUGCUUGUGGGCAAAGAAUCAAAAUUCAUAGAAUAAAUUAUACGCGCUAAAUUAUUUGCCCAGCUUUGUUGAUUAUCUGCAGUUAAGAAGUUGGAGGGAGCUGAGCUCCUCGGCACAUAAACACCAGACGGAUGCUCGUUGUCAGGAGGUGCUGGGGCUCGGGCAGGGAGGAGGGGAGAAGUUCCAGCCUGUGGACCCCCUGUGGCUCCAGUGAGCCCCCCGAUGGCAUUUGAGUUCCCCCAGAAGCGCGUCCUGGCUUUGGGGACCCAGCCCUGGCCACGCCGCGGCCACAGAUGAAGGCUUGUGCUCCUCAUUGUCACGGAGGGACCACGCGGUGGGUCGGGCACAGACGGGCUGCGCCUGAACCCGGUGAUGAAUUGCAGCUUGAUGACUUCCCCUCCUUCAAUGGAGCCGAACUGGCUUGGGGAAACUGUUUGAUUUAAGAAGAAUAGGCCUAAUUUUGGAAGUGCUUCACGCCCAUCAAUCUAAGUGAAAUUCAUUUAUCUGAGGCACAGCUGAUAUGUCUGCCAUUUACAUAGUAUUAAGUGCCUCCCAAUCCCUGAUAUAUUGGAGCUCCCAGUGGGGGGAAAAGGACAGUGUUGCUCUCCCCAUUUUGCAGGUGGAGAAGAGGAUUUGCAGCGUAAUCAAAUGAGUCAGUGGAGUCAGGGCAGCUCUGCCCAGAAACGGCAUCCGCCCCCAGAAACAGGCAGGCGGUGGCUCCGCGCCCCGGCCCGCGGCUGCGCGGGCGUCCGGGGUGACGUACGCACGGCGACGGGCAGGAGGAGCCGUCACAGCGUUCUCCAUCCCCGGUCUAACAUGGCUUUACGAAGCGUUUGCCAUCGUGUCUGGAAGGCAAGGUUGGAAGGCAGGCUGGGAAUCACAGCAGUAUCUGAUGGAGGAGUUAUUUAGAGGGAAGAGACAUAUGGCGUCUUAAAUAAAAAGCACCUACUCAGUGGUUAAUCUCCACUUGAAAAGCGUCCAGGCCGGGCUCGUGCAUCCACCGUGGCACUCCCUGCCACGCGCCUGCUGUCCAAAGAUGCAGAUGCCGGGUUAACGCCGCGGCUCUCCCCACCCCUCCCUGGCUGCGCCGGCCCUGCCAGCCCCGUGCCGGCUCCAGACCCUCCUUCCUGCAGCUCUCCGCGGGCACUUGGGGUGGUGAUGAGACACCCGGGCAGUCACAGGGUUUGUUUAAUGGCAAAGCUAUCCCAGCUGCUUUAUAAGCAAACAGGAGUAAUGGGGGGGAAGAAGUUUCUCCCUCUUCCUCUCGGAUCUUCUGAGUAUGCACUUCUGCUGUGAUUUAUCCUUGUUGCAACCUUAUCGACUGCCUGGGGAUGUAAAUCAAGCAAACGGACAUUGUACCCGGAAUUCCACUUAUUUAUACAGAGAUUGAAAGGCUAUAAUUACGGCUGCUAUUAAUAAAUACAGCCUGGCAGAGAGGAGAGACACAGGUGUCCGUCUCCUCGGGGGGCAGGGAUGGAAACGUCCAUGGUGGGAGACGGCCCUGGCUGCCAAGCAAACUUUCCCCGCUCCUCUGGGUGCUAAAUCAGCCUCUCCGCACACAGCAGCAAUCUGCUGUUAAUUAGAGGAUACCCAAGGAGGUGACAACGCCAGCCUGGUGAAAAGUAAAACAUGCGAAAGCUUCUCCCUCGCUGCUUGUUUCAUCCUGUCGGCUCAUCCCCACCUCAGCCCCCCCAAAUUCCAGCCUCCCUGGCCGGGGACCCGCAGGGGAGGCAGCAGAACGCGCAGCCCACGCCACUCCUGUCCCUGUGCCGCGGGGACGGCGCGUUACAGCAAAACUGUGACAUGCUCGAAGGGACUGCAGCUCUGGCUGCGACGGUGGGAAGGAGAUGAACGGCGCUGCUCCCCCUGGCACCGGCGUGACUGGCAGCCUGGGGACAGCAGAGCCCGCUCCAAGUGCUCCCCGGGGCCCCGGGGGGAGCUCAUUAUGGCUGGGCUGGCAGGAGCCGUGGCUCUGCUUUGUGAGCUGUGAAACCUGUGUUUAUCCAGCACUCAGCUCCGCUCAGCACACGUUAAGCAGCCCGGGGUAUUGAGCAGGAGGAAUGAGAAGUGCGUUACCCGGCCUGCUGCUGAGGCAGAGCUCGGAGACAGGAGGGGAGCGGGGCCCUGGC